This is a long non-coding RNA of Nematostella vectensis (starlet sea anemone), 1425 nucleotides long. RefSeq lists it as uncharacterized. The record is from RefSeq and is a predicted model, not a curated record. The transcript has 2 exons. NCBI's taxonomy places the organism in Eukaryota, Metazoa, Cnidaria, Anthozoa, Actiniaria, Edwardsiidae.
CCGUGAUCCAAGAUGGCCGACCGGGGAGACCUGUCAGCGGUCUUCUUGAGCCCUCGGAUCGGUCCGAGGUAGUCCCUUCAGUCUGAAAUAAAAUAAAAUGUCCAGAAUAACUAAAAAUAGCAACAUUGUGACCUUAUUCACUAACUACGGCCAUUUACCCACAUAUAAGUGAUUUCUUCGUUUGUUACACGCCGAACACGAAGUCCAACUGAUGCCGCCAUCUUGGCCGUGAAGCCUUUUCGACUGGACCCUAGCCACACAGGCAGACCGAAAAACGCGGCCUCUUCAAUCGACCCAGAGAUCUAUCGGCCCAGCGAUCCAUCGACCCAGCAAACCAUCGACCCAGAUAUUCAUCGGCCUAGCGAUCCAUUGGCCCAGCAAUCCAUCGACCCAGAGAUCCAUCGGCCCAGCGAACCAUCGACCCAGAUAUUCAUCGGCCUAGCGAUCCAUCGACCCAGCGAUCCAUCAACCCAACGGUCUAGUGAUCCAACGGUCUAGCGAUUUAAAGAUAUGCGGAUCUAGCGUUCCAUCGAGUCAGUUUCUCCUGAGAUAACUUAUGCAGUUGAUUGAGAGGCAUAACCACGGAUGCAUUGGGAGAACUCCAACAUUUGACCUCAUUCACCCAAAUGCGAUUCGUUUGCCACAAGCAGCAAGCGGGGCGAACUCUGCACAUCAUCACCACCCCUGACAGCAAGGGAAAAGCCGUCGUGGACUUCUUCACCGCGAAGACAAACAACUUCCCACGUGCCUGCGACUCCUUCACCAAGGGCGCCACAGACAACUCGAUGCUAAGCGGUCGGUGUGCGAGAUGGGGCAGAGACGCAAGCGGCGACUACCAUGUGGGAGUCUGGGGAGAAACAGACCGGUUGGCCCCGGAUAGGAGGAUGUAUGACCAUGCGAUCUUUGACAAUGGCUUUAUUUAUUUGUCGGUUAUAAAAAAUUGCGACGACAACUUAAAUCAAGUGACAGACGGAGACUUUUGGAAGAUAUUUGUACGCUGAUUUUUCUAAAAUUCGCUUAAAUGAAUUGACGCGAAAAAAAGUGCCGCGAAAAUGGGCAAGCACAGAGAGAUGCUUUGGAAAAGACUAAAACAUAAAAAAUCGUUUAAUAAACUUUAUGUAUACUAUUCAUUUUUAUCAAUUCAUUAUCAUCUAUACGAAACUUGCAUACCGUACAGAGUACCCUCGGUAUUAAUGCCGCAACAGCUAGCUGAAUACCAUUCAAUACUGUAGCUACGGAGAAGCAUGACAUCUAGAUGUGGCUACAGAGUAGGUAUAACGCCACACCCUGUCCUGUACCCUAAUCCAUCUACGCAAUGUACAUUGCACCGUACAUCGCUAUAAAAAAAGACUUUGGCGGGCGCGGAUCCAGGUAAAAGCCUGACCUGUUCACGAAAACAAAAACGCAAUAAACAGAAUAAAUACA